AUGGACAAUGGAAGCACAAGCAUUCAACGCUCCAACUAUGAAGUGGUGCAAGAUGAAGCCAAUGAGUUUGCAAUGAAUGAAGAUGAAGAACCUCGUGAGCUUUACCGGAGAUUAACCACUCUCGCGGUCUCACUCCGAGAUCAUGGGAGCAAGGAUACAAAUGCAAAUUGGAUCAAGCGCAAGUUUCUCAAGGCCAUGAUGCCUUACCAUAAGGCCAUGUCCUCUGUCAUCCGUCAAAGGCCGGACUUCCACACCUUGUCCUCAAGUGAAGUGUUGGAUGAGUUUGUGGCAAUGAGGAUCUUGGACAAGACCGCCAACAAUGCGGUAUUGCAUUCUCAACGAGCAAAGAAGCCCAACCUUGCCUUGAAGGCCAAGGCUAGUGUGGAAGAAGAGGAUGAAGAGUAA
Molecule: ribosomal RNA, 405 nt
Filed under: Triticum aestivum (bread wheat)
Lineage: Eukaryota; Viridiplantae; Streptophyta; Magnoliopsida; Poales; Poaceae
Description: partial small subunit ribosomal RNA
Source: RNAcentral